AGAUUGAACGCUGGCGGCAGGCCUAACACAUGCAAGUCGAGCGGCAGCACGGGUACUUGUACCUGGUGGCGAGCGGCGGACGGGUGAGUAAUGCCUAGGAAUCUGCCUGAUAGUGGGGGAUAACGUUCGGAAACGGACGCUAAUACCGCAUACGUCCUACGGGAGAAAGUGGGGGAUCUUCGGACCUCACGCUAUCAGAUGAGCCUAGGUCGGAUUAGCUAGUUGGUAGGGUAAAGGCCUACCAAGGCUACGAUCCGUAACUGGUCUGAGAGGAUGAUCAGUCACACUGGAACUGAGACACGGUCCAGACCCCUAGGGAGCAGCAGUGGGAAUAUUGGACAAUGGGCGAAGCCUGAUCCAGCCAUGCCGCGUGUGUAGAAGAGGUCUUCGG
This 391-nucleotide ribosomal RNA is filed under the name uncultured soil bacterium. RNAcentral describes it as "bacterial SSU rRNA". It matches the Rfam family "Bacterial small subunit ribosomal RNA", at positions 26 to 421 of the family's 1533-position model. The record is from RNAcentral.